AUUGAGACUAGAGUCACAUCUUGAUGUCUUCAGUCAUUGUGGUGUGCUAUAGUACUCGGAGAGAAAAACUGAUCUUUAUUCACUGACUUUGUUGUUCUGUAGCAAAGUCAGUCACCAGGUUAGUGACAGAC
This is a small nucleolar RNA of Podarcis muralis (Common wall lizard), 131 nucleotides long. Ensembl annotates it as small nucleolar RNA SNORA3/SNORA45 family. NCBI's taxonomy places the organism in Eukaryota, Metazoa, Chordata, Lepidosauria, Squamata, Lacertidae. The record is from Ensembl.